Molecule: long non-coding RNA, 27143 nt
Filed under: Malus domestica (apple)
Lineage: Eukaryota; Viridiplantae; Streptophyta; Magnoliopsida; Rosales; Rosaceae
Description: long non-coding RNA (MDOM_LNC011684)
Source: RNAcentral
AGCAAAUCAUGCAUCAUAAUCUUGUUUUCUCUAUUAAUAGUUACAAGGCACCGGUCAAGGAGGACCUUGAUUCCUGUUGUUGCAUAAAAGCCACAACCAUCCAAGAUUUGUAUGACAUCGUUCUUGUCCAUUCCGAUAAAAAAACAAGCUAUAUCGAGGAAUAUUCGCCUCUUGUAAUUAUCAUUUAGCUCGUUGUAGCUUAUUUUCAGUUGUGCCUGAAUUUCUCCACGAGGAAUUAUUUUCAAUUCAUCCAAUAUACUUCUCCAUUCAUCUACGCUUCGUUUGAAAAGAGUAGAUCCUAAAACUUCAAGAGCCAGCGACAAUCCUCCACAGUAAUUAACAACUUCUCUUUCGAGUGCAAGAUAUUGACUAGGACAACUACUACUUCUGAAAGCAUGCCAACUUAGGAGCUCAAGAGCUUCUUCUCGGUCCAUUACUUUCGCCCGAUAUAUCUUUUGAAUUGCAAAUUCUUUUAGCACACUUUCAUUUUUAGUUGUGAUGAUGAUUCUGCUCCCCGGGCCAAAAAGUGGCAAUUUCCAACUAAUUCACGUAAUUGCUUCACAUCGUCUACAUCAUCAACUAUGACAAGUACCUUUAAGCGUCGAAAUCUUUCCCUUACCAAGGCGGUCCCUGCAGCAACACUGCUUACCUUUGUCUUGGUUUGCAAGAUAUCAAAAAGAAGUUGUUUUUGCAAUUUUUCUAGCUUCUUUUCCCUCACUUUUUCAAGGAAACUUUUACCUUCAAAUCUUUCAUAAAAUUCGUUAUAAAUGGCUUUAGCAAUCGUUGUUUUACCUAUUCCACCCAUGCCCGAAAUUCCAAUCACACGAACAUCAUCUGAAUCUCCGAUGCCUAAAUAAUUACUAAUAUCUAGCACUCGAGUAUCUAUUCCGACUUGAUAGGGCGCUACGUCGAAGUAUUUGUUGUUCAACUUAGUAGUGACGUCAUUGGUAAUCAUCCUGAUAAACUUUGCUUCAUGCCUGGCAUUAGUCAAGUUGAGAAGCAAAACGAAGAUUGUUAUACAACGAAAUUGAACUAAUUAAUACACAAAAUUAUUUAUCAUGACUAGAGAUUUUAAUUAAGACAAUUUUUUUGAGGUGGUGUGUUUAAACUUAGCAAACAUCAAUUAAAAUUAAAAUAAGAAACACAAACAAAAAACCCAGCAUCCCUUCCGUCCGCAGCCAGUCGCCGGCAGCUUCCCAACUGUGAUUAGUGUAGCCUUAACAGUUUAAGCUUUAUUGUAUGAUUUUAUUACAGAGGUCUAAGAAAUCGCAUGAUUCCAAAUUAAUAAGCAAAGGUACAUUAAAGCCUUAAUUCAUAAGAAAAUAAAUUAGUAAGUACCCGUCGAAAGUGUUUCUGAGAUCCCAGCCAGGCAAAUUCGAAGCUUCAGUAAGAGCAGCUCUCCACCUCUCUACCUUUUUUCAUCUGUAUGUUUCAGAAACGAUUGUGCAAAACUACUAGUCUGUUUCCUGACAUGCGAAGGAUCAACGUCAUAGAAUAUCGGCAAAACUAAUUGCCCUAGCAUUCUUCUACACUCCAUGAUCUUUACCAGCUCCUCGAGACACCAGCUGGAGUCCGAGUACCGUCUUGAGAAGACGAUGAUAGAGAUCCUAGAACCCUGGAUUGCCUGCACAAGUUCGGUAGUUAUAUCUUCUCCUCUUCUUAGUUCGUCGUCAAUAAAGGCGUUGAUUCCGGCCUUUGUCAAUGCUUCGUGGAGGUGGCCCGUGAAGUUUUUACGUGUGUCUUCACCUCUGAAGCUUAUGAACACUUCGUAGAGCGAACCUUUUGAGAAGGAGGACAAGGACGGGGAGGCGGAGGAGGACGAUGAGGAUGAGAUUGAGGGUGAGGAGGUGGAGGAGGACGAUAAGGAUGAGGGCGAGGACGAGGUUUUAUCGGGGACGGAGAUAUUCAUUUGGCGAAAGACGAGGCCGAGGGAGCAGAGGAGGAAGAUGAGGACAUCAAAAACAAGACCGGAAUUGCGAUGUGCAUAGUGGUAGGACAGUAACACCAGCACCAUAAUUAACAGCUUCCCUAAGCUCAACCAGUUAUCCAUUGCCUUCAAUUUCUUUAGGCAAAUUGAAGGUUUUUUGGCGAUAUUGAUUUUCAUUUUUUCUACCGGAACUACUUUCUUCUUCUUAUAAUUAAUCAACCCGCCUAGGCGGCGCAGUUGACUGUAGACUUGAGUAUUGGUAAAUUGACUUAUGGUCCUACACCCUAAAUUCUACGAGGUGCUCUUUUUCUUCCACUAUAAAGCCAAAUUAGACACGGUAAAUUGACUUGUGGUCCUACACCCUAAAUUCCAGGAGGCACCCUUUUUUUCCACCUUAUCGCCAAAUUCUACGCAGUGUUUUCUGGUUCACACAAUGAUGAGAUACUUUUCAGUUUAUAGGAACACAGUCCAGUACACUGUACACCACUUAUAAAACAACUUCAAGAGGGCUAGUUUGAAAAUAUCCUACCGCGAAAUUUGAUUUGGUUUGGACCAAAUUUUGAUUUAGAUGAAAACUAGUAACAGUGCCUGCGCGUUGCUGCGGAUGUUUAAAAUGUUUUGAUAAUAUAUAAAUAUAGAAAACAUAAUUUAUUAAAGCUAGAUUUCUAUACCUAAGAUAAAGGUUGACAGUUUUCAUAAUUAUCAAAAGUUGGCAGUGUCCAAUUGCUCACUGUUCAAAAGAUAGAGAUGCUAUAAAAGCUUAUUUCAUCUACAUAAGUUCAUAGUAUCAUGUACUCAAAAUAAUCAUAGUAUCAAAAGAUUGGCAGUUUUCAACUGCUCAUCGUUCAAAUACGAAAAUAUACAUAUGUCCAUAUCAAAAGGUUGGCUCCGCACAUCUGCUGUGUUUAUGAUUUUUCCUGUUCAAUCUCUGGUCUUGCUUGUUUGGGAAUGGCCACCCUUUUUCUUGGCCACCAUGCUGUUGAAUUGGUGCCUAUUCUUUUUUGCUUUGCCCAUUAUUUUUCUCUUGAUAUAUAUUACGAAUUGGAAUCAGUAAGAAUUCCAUAUAAAAAACUAAAUUUGUCAAUCUAUUUAACUUAGUGCGAACUUCGUCAAACAACCAAGUAUAAUCCAGCAAGGUUAUUUUCUCUUUUUUUUUUUUUGAUCAAAAUGAAUUCUACUGUUCCCAUCUAUUUGCACAUCCCUUUAAAUUAUCGAAAACACAAAAGAAAUAUAUCUUGAUCCAUACCAAUUAAUGAUUUCCCAUUUACUCAAGUCAAACGUCAAAGCCAAUGAAUUGAUGAAGGAGCUAAAAAAGAGGGACAAAAAAAAAUCUCUAUUAUUCAAUUAUAUGGAGAUUUACCUGAUUGUACAAAAGGUUUGAAAAUUACCGUAAAAUUUGAAAAGAGAGAUGAGAUGGAGUGGAAAUCACAUACCAGCAUCAGGCUUAAAUUUGUAGUGCUCAUCUGAGAGAGCAGUGAUAGUGUUGAUGAGAGUGUAGGGAGAGAAACAAAAUGCAAAUCGUACGAGUUUGAGAGAAACUGCUUGAGGGACACUGCAGAUUGAUCGUUGAGAUUUGAGAAACCGAGGAAGCUGCAAUUUGAGACGAACUACUUUGCAUCAAACGUGGGGGAGUUUCUCUCCUCCACGUUUGAAUAGAAGAGGUAGUUUCAGAGUUGUCUGCAAUUAGUCCUAUCAGGAGCUUCUGCACUGGUUGAUGUCUCGGUCUUUUCCUUAGUCGCAUGUGCAUUGUAGACUUGGGUAGAUGAAAAGUAGAAAGGAAAUAAAAAUAUAAAGUCAAAGUUACCACUUAACUAUCUAUGUUGAUUCAUGUCCCACGCAUAAUAAGAAUAGUGAAUCAUUUUUCAUCUCGUGCACUGGUUUGUCAUUGUCAUUCGAAUUCACAAAUCCAUUUACUCCGAAUUUCUUAGUUAUCACCAGGGAAAGAAUGUAAUAAGCAAAAAUCUAUUUCUAGGUUGUCCCACUAAACUACCUGUUAAACCAUGGUAAAUCAAAACGGGAAAAAAAUUAUAAUACCUUUGUCAAACCUCUUGGGAUUCAAGUCCACCGACUCCACCCCAAUACUCAGUGGCGCCCCAGAAAUCUUGCACGUUCAGUAGCCAAGAUCAUGCAUGUAUCAGUAUGAAUAUGGAAGAGAAAAUAAAUGCAAUUUAUUAGAAUAAAGAAUAUGGGAUCAACAAAGUUUGUCCAAACUUACAGUGAGGCUAAUAAACAACAACUAAAGAUAAUUUUUCGUUUUGCUACAUGAGAGGGGCAUCCAAAAAUCCAAACCUGUCGAUACGGCACAACUGAGGAUGCAAACUUUAUCCAACUAAGCAAGGGGCUUGAUCUUGGAAAGACGGCCAGAAUGAACAACAAUGUAUUCACUUUAGUAAAAGUGCCAAGACAGUGAUUGGUGAACGUUAUUUCCCAGCUGGGUUAGUUUGGCUAUUCCUUUCUAUUGAAAAGGAGUCAGUUGUGCAUGAGUCACCACAUUUUGCUUCAUGGCGAAAAAUUUGAGGGAUCAAUAGUGUAUGGCCCUGAAUCCCAAAAGGAAAAAAUAACUCAACUAAGUAUAUAUAAUAUUAAACAUAUAAAGGGUAAGAUCAACCACAUCCCAUAGGAGAACAAUUAAACGCCACUCUCUCAGUUUCGAGUACAACUGCACUUUGUGAUUAAAAUUCACACAUGUUUCACAUAUGCUAAGAAGUAAUGUUCCUGUAGGUUUUUCAUCAUGAACGACAUUUGCAAUCUACUUUUCGAUUUCAAACCUUAAUUAUUCAUUGCCCAUUAAGAAAUGACUAUAUUGCCCGGAAACUCUACUCAUAGUUUAUAAAUCUGCAAUUUUCAAAGCUUAACCUUAAACAUUUAUCAUGCUGAAAAAAAUACUUAAGCAUCUUAAUUGGAUUCCCUACAAUUUGGUGGAGGUUGAAUGGAUUUUUCCUCCCAUUAUACCCCCGGAAAAUAUAAAUAAUCAUUGGAGACCGAGCAACACACACUCAUAAAUAAAAGAUUAGGAACCUUUGGUUCAGGAUAAACAUAAUGCAUACAGAAGAAUAAAAUUGCCAGAAAACAGAUCGAUGCACAGAGAGAUAGAGGCAUAAAGAGAGAACUUACAUCAGCUGUGCUCUCAAAUACAUAUGGUAAUCUGCAUACGAAGAAACAUAAUACUGAAACAGUUAUAAAUCAUCCUAUUCAAACAAAUCAAACGAAAUGCAUAAAGAUUACCUUAGUUUUUGAUUCUAUGAUUUUGUAUUUGACUCCACCUCCACGUUGUUCUUUGGUUGUCUCUUUUACUGAAUUAAGUAAUCGACUGAAUUACUUAAUUCAACUGAAUUUAAUCAGAGAGAUGAAAGCUUCUGUAUAAAAAAAUAUUUUAUGCUCUACACGCGUAGCAAAUCAUCAGUAACCUCCAAGAACCUAAUUGUACGAUAAACACUCUAGCAUUAACUACCCAAGAAUUAUAAUCAUGCUUAUUGCCAAAAAUGAUAAACAUGUUUACCUUGACUUCAUUUUUAAUGGCAUAUGUAAUAUACUUUCCAUCUGCAUUAAAAUAACCUUCUUCCCUCUGCUCGUUAAUCAAGUUGAAAGGUUCUGUUUGAAUCCCAUCCACAACAAAGUCCUUGUAAUCCUGCCAAAAGAUACCACCAAUCACUGGCUAUCGCUUCCGUUGAUCCAAUUAGCAGAAGUAUCCAACAAUUUCCUCGACUGAAAAAAAUCUUGCCAAUUUAGAAAAGAACUAUUCCAAAUUACGGAUGUACUCGAUUAAUUUAACCAAGAAUAUGCACGGCACCACCACUAUUAAGAAACAUCAUCAUACAAAGACAAAAGUUUUUACCAUCAGUUUUUAAAUUGCAACCAAAACAUGCAUAGAAAGAAUAAAAAUGACAACAAAGAUGGCAAAACAAUUAACCACACAUGUUGUUUAUCCAAAAAUGCUGAGAGCUUAUGCUUCUGUGACACAACAAGCUUCCUGCGUCACAUACACUAGAUCAAGUAGGCGUCAUGACAUAAAUUGAAAAGCAGACAAGAUCAAGAAGAUCCAAAAUUAUUGACAUAUAAUUAUAGUAAAUAAUUGCACAUGAAAAACUCUAGAGGAAGAUAGAUGAAUCUCCAUAUCAAGAAACCAAAGAACAUGACACUACUAAGGACUGUUGCUUCACAUGCAUAUCUGCUACUAUUUUAAACAAUUAUGUUAUAACAAGUAUAACUCCGCCGUGUAAGUUUAUCUUACAUUGCCGGUCCCAAGCCCGGAUAAAGGAGGAGGGGGAGGGCGUCAGGUAGUCGACAGCCGGCACUCCAUGAUUACGUCGAAUCCUUAUGAAAAUGAAUCCAGAACGAAAUCGCGCUAAAGCUAGGGCGUCACCCGUAAGUGGCACGCUGUGUGGCCCGAGCACAGUGAUAAGUGAGCAAGGGUCACUGUAUCUCCAUCGGCACCCGGAUGCAGUGUUAAAUGAGCAAGGGGGCUAUAGAAACUUCUUUUCGAACGACUCCACUCAAAGUUGUUUGGGAGCAUAUGCUCCUAUCAACUUUACACGGGAGACACAAAAGAAGUACUUUGAUCCUAUUAGACGGGGAAGGGUGAAGAAGCUAGGACAGAAGGGUAGAGUUCAAGAGAGCAAAAUGCGUUUAGGAACGUGGAAUAUAGGAACCUUGACGGGAAAAUCUAUGGAAGUAGUAGAAGUUAUGGUGAGGAGAAGGAUAAAUAUUAUGUGCCUACAAGAAACUAAGUGGGUUGGUCGUAAGGCAAAGGAUCUAGAAAACUCAGGGUUUAAACUAUGGUAUUCGGGCACAAAUAGAACGAGAAACGGUGUUGGCAUCAUCGUGGACAAGACCUUGACACAAGAUGUUGUAGAUGUCAAGAGGGUAGGAGAUAGAAUCAUGGCAAUCAAGAUUGUAAAUAGGACAAGAACUUAUCAAUGUGAUUAGUGCGUACGCACCUCAAGUAGGGUUGGAUACGAGUUCGAAGGAGAAAUUUUGGGAAGACCUUGGAGACUUGGUGCAAGGAAUUGCUCAGACGGAGAAGUUAUUUAUAGGAGGAGAUUUAAAUGGACACGUGGGCAGGGAGACAGGCAACUAUGGAGGUUUUCAUGGUGGCCAUGGUUUUGGGGAGAGAAACGAGGAUGGGGAAGCUAUCUUGGAUUUUGCAAUGGCAUAUGAUCUCUUCUUAGCCAACACCUUCUUUAAGAAGAGAGAAGAACAUGUGAUCACCUACAAGAGUGGGUCGUCAAAAACACAAAUAGAUUUUCUUCUAAUGAGGAAAGGGGAUCGUAUAACUUGUAAGGAUUGCAAAGUUAUACCAGGAGAGAGCGUGGCUAAUCAACAUCGCUUGUUGGUGAUGGAUGUACAUAUCAAAAGAGUGAGAAAAAAGAACAAGACUUGGAAGUGCCCAAGGACUAGAUGGUGGAAUCUAAAAGAAGAAAAACAAGCCAUUUUCAAAGAGAAAGUAAUCACCCAGUAUGUGUGGGAUAGAGAGGGGGAAGCUAACCAAAUGUGGGAUUCCAUGGCUAGUUGUAUCCGAAAAGUAGCAAAAGAGGUAUUAGGAGAGUCCAAGGGUUUUGCCCCACACCAAAAGGAAUCUUGGUGGUAGAAUGAGGAGGUACAAACAAAGGUGAAGGCUAAGAAGGAAUGUUGUAAAGCCUUCUACAAGGAUAGGACCGAUGAAAAUGGUGAAAGGUAUAGAAAAGCGAAGCAUGAGGCGAAGAAAGCUGUGAGAGAAGCUAAGUUAGUGGCUUAUGACGAUAUGUAUAAGCGACUAGAUACCAAAGAAGGAGAGUUGGAUAUCUAUAAACUAGCUAGAGUAAGGGAAAAGAAGACAAGGGACCUAAACCAAGUGAGGUGCAUCAAGGAUGAGGAUGGAAAUGUUCUUGCUACAGAGAACGCGGUUAAAGACAGAUGGAAAGGUUAUUUUCAUAAUCUUUUCAAUGAAGGACAUGAAAGGAGUGCUUCUUUAGGGGAGUUGAGUAACUCAGAAGAGUGUAGAAACUACUCUUUUUAUCGUAGAAUCCGGAAGGAAGAAGUGGUUGUUGCUUUGAAGAAGAUGAAGCAUAGAAAAGCAGUAGGCCCAGACGAUAUACCAAUCGAAGUGUGGAAAGUUUUGGGAGAGACAGGUAUAACAUGGCUCACUGACCUUUUCAAUAGGAUUUUGAAAACGAAGAAGAUGCCAAAUGAGUGGCGAACGAGCACUUUGGUGCCUAUCUACAAGAAUAAGGGUGAUGUACAAAAUUGCAUGAACUAUAGGGGUAUUAAGCUAAUGAGUCAUACAAUGAAGCUCUGGGAGAGAGUCAUUGAGCAUAGAUUGAGGCAAGAGACACGGGUUUCGGACAACCAAUUCGGGUUCAUGCCAGGGCGCUCAACCAUGGAGGCAAUCUAUCUCUUACGAAGAUUGAUGGAAAGAUAUAGAGAUGGGAAAAAUGAUUUACACAUGGUCUUUAUAGAUUUGGAAAAUGCGUAUGAUAGGGUCCCAAGAGACAUUCUUUGGAGGAUUUUAGAGAAGAAAGGAGUACGAGUAGCAUAUAUCCAAGCUAUACAGGAUAUGUAUGAAGGAGCAAAAACUGCCGUAAGAACUCAUGAAGGACAAACCGAAAGCUUUCCCAUAACUGUAGGAUUACAUCAAGGCUCAUCAUUAAGUCCUUACCUUUUUGCGUUGGUAAUGGAUGAGUUAACAGGACAUAUUCAAGAUGAUAUUCCUUGGUGUAUGCUUUUCGCAGACGAUAUAGUGUUGAUAGAUGAAACUCAGGAAGGGGUAAAUGCAAAGCUUAACCUUUGGAGAGAAGUGUUGGAAUCUAAAGGUCUUCGCCUAAACCGAUCAAAGACAAAAUAUAUGGAGUGCAAGUUCAGUGCAAAUGGAGGCCAAAACGAGUUAGGGGUGAGGAUCGGAGAUCAAGAAAUACCAAAGAGCGACCGUUUUUGUUACCUAGGAUCUAUCUUGCAAAAGAACGGAGAAUUAGACGGAGAUCUCAACCAUAGAAUACAAGCUGGAUGGAUGAAGUGGAAGAGUGCAUCCGGCGUGUUGUGUGACCGCCGUAUGCCACUGAAGCUCAAGGGAAAAUUUUAUAGGACGGCAAUAAGGCCGGCGAUGCUGUAUGGCACAGAAUGUUGGGCGGUGAAGCAUCAACACGUACACAAAAUGGGUGUAGCGGAGAUGAGGAUGCUUCAUUGGAUGUGUGGGCACACAAGAAAGGAUAAGAUUAGGAAUGAGAAUAUCCGGGGUAAAGUAGGAGUAGCCGAAAUUGAAGGAAAGAUGAGAGAAAAUCGGUUACGGUGGUUUGGACAUGUGCAAAGAAGGCCUACUGACGCUCCAAUUAGAAGAUGCGACUAUGGGACAGAGGUUCAGGGCCGAAGGGGUAGAGGAAGACCUAGGAAAACUUUGGAAGACCCUAAGAAAAGACUUAGAGUACUUGGAUCUAAUGGAGGACAUGACACAGGACAUAACACAAUGGCGUUCUAAGAUUCAUAUAGCCGAUCCCACUCAGUGACUUGGAUUUUCCAAGUCUCCAACCGAGAAGUUUUCCUCACUCGGGAAAUUAAGGGAACACUACCUCAACCUACAUGCUCCAUUCACAAAGCUUCAACAUACAAGCUUCAACAAAAGAAAAUUCAAAGAACUUAGCGAAGAAGGCUUUGGUGUAUUUAACACAAUACGUUGAAAUGAAGGAAAACUUAUUUAUUGAUAUCCCCGAUAAGUUACAAAUAUGUACAUAUACUUGAGUCAAAAUAAACAAACAAGAGGGAGCCUUCACAAAGGUUGCUUAGGAGAAGUCUCAGCAGUCGGCAGAGCCCCAGAAAAAGAAGGCACCGGAGGUGGAUCAUUCGGAGCCUCAGUACUGGACAGAACCCUAGAAGGAUGAGGCAUCAGAGGUUGAUCAUUUGGAGUUUUAUUACGCGGUACAGCCCCAGAAGACGAAGGCAAUAAAUGCCUUUGGAACAAACCCACAAAUCUCUGAUGAUCAAGUAAAACCUGACCAUCAGAUUCCUUCAUUUGGUCAAGCUUCCUCUUCAUGUUUGUAGCAUAGUCAUGUGCGAGCCGGUGCAACUGUUUAUUCUCAUGCUUGAGCCCUCUAAUCUCCUGUUUGAGACUCAUCACUUCAGCCGCCAAUGAUUCAACCUGGCGGGUUCAAGCAAAUAGGCGUUGGGCCAUAUUAGAUACAGAACCUGCACACUGAACACUGAGAGCCAGAGAAUCCUUAACAGCCAACUCAUCAGACCGUUUGGAAAGUAGUCUGUUAUCUUUGGGAGUGAGAAGGUUCCUGGCCACUACCGCAGCGGACAUAUCAUUCUUCAUCACGGAAUCCCUAACGGUAAGAGGACCAGUAGGGGAGACGAAGGAUGGGCGCCAUAUAUUGUCUGGUGAAGGCGGGGCUGCCUCUUAAAAAAGGUUCAAGUCAAAACGACGGUCGGAGGGGCCAGACAUUUUCAAAGGUGUUGAAGAGAGAAGAGUUCGGACAAAUCAAGAUCUUAGAAGUGCAAGAAUGGAGCUUCUACUGGUGGAUAUUCAAGUGUGCUUUGGAACUUAAUGUCAGCCCCUAUAAAAAUUUGCACUCGACGAAGCUUCAGAAAUCGAAGAGGCGCCUGCUCAGAAAUCGAAGAGGUGUUUGCUUUCUCAAAAGCUGGGCUGCUCAGAGACCACGAGGGUCGAUCUCAGAAAUCGAAGAGGCGUUUGCUUUCUCAAAAGCUGGGCUGCUCAAAGACCACGAAGACCGAUCUCAGAAAUCGAAGAGGCUUGCUUUCUCAAAAGUUGGGCUGCUCAGAGACCACGAGGGUCGAUCUCAGAAAUCGAAGAGGCACCUACUUUUCCAGCCUUGUCAGCACCUGUCACACGCACACUCAGCUUUGCGGAAAUUAUGGGCAUUCUGUCGAAGAUUUCUGGCGAAGUAGAAAGCACAUGAAUCGUACUGUUCAAUCACCCACUUCUCACACGCAACAGUAGCUCAUGGGUACCACAGAUAACUUUGCCAAAGUUCUCUGACAAAGUUGAGACACGUGAAGCUUGCAGCUCCCACUACAUCGCUCUGACCAAGAAGGGUAAAAGAAUAGCAAAGAAACAACACUAACAAAGUUUACACAUAAAUUUUGAAGGUCUAGCUACCAUAUUAUUACCCACAAGGGUAAAGGAACAGUACCACUGCUGGAUAAUUGGAAAGUCCCGAUGUGUCAACCUCUGUGCUUCGUGGCAAGGUAGACUAGCAAACUUGCCCAACCUUUACUCACAUUCGAGAAAACACUCCCAACAAGAUUGCUUGCUCCAAAAUCGAAGAGGCACCGCCCUCCGAAUCUCAAGAGCCAGACUCCCAACAUGAUUACUUUCUCAAAAAUCGAAGAAAGGGUAAAGGAACAGUACCACUGCUGGAUAAUUGGAAAGUCCUUGUGUGUCAACCUCUGUGCUUCGUGGCAAGGUAGACUAGCAAACAUGCCCAACCUUUACUCACAUUCGAGAAAAUACUCCCAACAAGAUUGCUUGCUCCAAAAUCGAAGAGGCACCGCCCUCCGAAUCUUGAGAGCUAGACUCCCAACAUGAUUACUUUCUCAAAAAUCGAAGAGAGGGUAAAGGAACAGUACCACUGCUGGAUAAUUGGAAAGUCCCUGUGUGUCAACCUCUGUGCUUCGUGGCAAGGUAGACUAGCAAACAUGCCCAACCUUUACUCACAUUCGAGAAAACACUCCCAACAAGAUUGCUUGCUCCAAAAUCGAAGAGGCACCGCCCUCCGAAUCUCGAGAGCCAAACUCCCAACAUGAUUACUUUCUCAAAAAUCGAAGAGACACCGCUUUUCGAAUCCCGAGAGCCAGACCCCCAGCAGGAUUGCUUUCUCAAAAAUCGAAGAGGCAUCGUUCUCCGAAUCUCGAGAGCCAGAUCCCCGACAGGAUUGCUUGUUCGAAAACCGAAGAGGCACCACUUUCCCAACUUCAAGAGCUGGAUCUCCUUGGAUAAAGCUUGUCUGUAAUCUUCACAUGCAACAUCAGCUUUCCAGAUACCACAGACCACUUUUUCAAAACGCUCUGACAUAGUUAAAACAUGUGAAGCUUGCAGCUCCCACUACCGUGCUAUGACCAAGCAGGGUAAAGGAAUAGCAUUAUUACUUGAUGUUAAGGAGACUCCUAUAUAUGUCGACCUUCAUCCCCAACGGACAGGCAGACCUGCAAAAAUGCUCAACCCUCCCUCUUAUCUGAGAGGGCACUCCCAACGAAGCCUUUCGAAAUAUUCAGCUUUCUUUCCCCCCCCCCGAUAAUACCUCUGUAAACAAGCUAUACUAGAGCAAGAAUAUCUCAUAUCAUCAGGGUUAAAAGCAAGAGUAUCCCAUAUCAUGCUUUUUCCCUGUCUUUUCCUUUGGCCUUGUUCUUACCUGCAAGACAAGGAGAAAGAGAGCAAUCAGUCAGCACUUGGAAUCAAGCUUCCAGCCAGGAACUGACUGCCUGGAACCCCUUACCUGAUUACUUACCUGGCAUUGCUUUCGAGUUCUCAUCUUCAACAUCUUAUGCUUCCAGGGAAGAUACCGCAUCUGCCUGAGGAACAGAUAGGGCAAGUGAGAAGGAUACAAGGAAGCAUGUGGAGACAAGCGUAACAGCACACGUGCCGAUACAUCCACUACUCUGUCGAAAGCAAAAGUAUCCCAUAUCAGCAGGGUCGAACGUACUCUAGAUUUGAUGGACUUGUUUUGACCCUCAAAUUCUUCAGUCGACCUUAUACUCUGGAGGAAACUAGAAAACCCUCCAGCCCAGUUCAAGAAUAAGCCUGUGGAAAGUUACUUCUUCAAAAGCAAAAGUAUCCCAUAUCAUCUCUUCUCAUUUUUCUUCUCUUUAUCCUUCAUACUGCCUGCAAGAUAGGGAGAAUGUGAACAAUCAGCAGGAGCUUUGAUUGCUUACCUUGUCUGUCACUUUCAGCAGAUCCCCUAGCUCGGCGACUUGGGGGACUCUUACUACAUGGUUUGUAUCGCGCUUGACCAAGCCUGAAACUACAAGUAAGCUUCAAGUGAAAUUGAUACAUUACCUUGUGCAUCUCCACCAGUUACAGAUAUCACCCCUGGAUGGAGGAAGAGUACUUCCAGAGAAGAUGCCACAUCUACCUAUGAGACAGAUAAGGCAAGUCAAGACGAUACCACACUCCGGUACUUAGAAGUUUCGUGGUUACGAGAUAAUUCUCCCACAAUAUUUCCUAAUGUCAUUUGUACUAAAUCAUUCACUUGUACUCACUAAAGGAGAGCUUGAACCUAUGUACUUGUGUAAACCCUUCACAAUUAAUGAGAACUCCUCUAUUCCGUGGACGUAGCCAAUCUGGGUGAACCACGUACAUCUUGUGUUUGCUUUCCUAUCUCUAUCCAUUUAUAUACUUAUCCACACUAAUGACCGGAGCAAUCUAGCGAAGAUCACAAAAAGUGACCGUUUUCGCUACCUAGGAUCUAUCUUGCAAGAGAACGGAGAAUUAUAUGGAGAUCUCAACCAUAGAAUACAAGUUGGAUGGAUGAAGUGUAAGAGUGCAUCCGGCGUGUUGUGUGACCGUCGUAGGCCACUGAAGCUUAAGGGAAAAUUUUAUAGGACGGAAAUAAGGUCAGCGAUGUUGUAUGGCACAGAAUGUUGGGCGGUGAAGCAUCAACAUGUACACAAAAUAGGUGUAGCGGAGAUGAGGAUGCUUCGUGAGAUGUAUGGGCACACGAGAAAGGAUAAGAUUGGGAAUGAUGAUAUCCGAGGUAAAGUAGGAGUAGCCAAAAUUGAAGGAAAUAUGAGAGAAAAUCGGUUCCGGUGGUUUGGACAUGUGCAAAGAAGGCCUACUGACGCUCCGGUUCGAAAAUGUGACUACGGGACAGAGGUUCAGGGCCGAAGGGGUAAAGGAAGACCUAGGAAAACUUUGGAAGAGACCCUAAGAAAAUACUUGAGUACUUGGAUCUAACGGAGGACAUGACACAAAACCGAGCGCAAUAGCGUUCUAGGAUUCAUAUAGCCGACCCCACUUAGUGGGAAAAGGCUUUGUUGUUGUUGUUGUUGUUGAUGUUAUAACAAGUAUAAGAGAGAGGAAAAAUCACUACUGAACCGAAAAUGAAAAAGGGGGAAAACCUGGAAUGCCAUGCAGUGCCGAAAUCACUACUUAGCAACAAAAGUGCCCUGCUAUGCUUCAUGACGUCACUUUCAAAACUAUUAUCCAAAGAUAAUGACACAUACAAAGACUUCUCAUCCCCAGAUACAUCUGAUUUGCUGUUAAGUGCCUUAUAUUGUCUACUUCCUGCCAUAAACGCAUGCUUAGCAGCCUCAUAUAACGGAAAAAGAACUUGUGUUGAAAUCCCCAACUUAUGAUCCCUAUUCCAAAAAACUGAGUUGCCAUCAACUGAGCGCAGCACAGUACUGUCAUCAGAUGAGGGUGAGGAAUGGCCUGCCUCUUUAUUCAGCUUGGAAAACUGGGACGGGUGAAGAAAUCCCACUUCAUCUCUGGGUUCAAUCAAGAGGAAAGAACAAUGUUUAAGACAAUGACAUUACUACAUAUUCCAAAAACACAACUGAGAAUCCUUCCAAAAUUAAAAAAAAAAAGAACACCUCUAAACAAAAUCAUAACGCACCCACAAUUACACACACACACAAUUCAAAAACUUUCAGCAUAAGAAUAAGGCAUACUUGGACCGUUAUCGAAAUCCCAGACUCAGUAACAGUAAUGAACUUACACUGAAUCAACAUUUUGAAUUUGAACUAACACUGAAUGGACAUUUUCCAAAAAAUAUGAAAUCCAAGUAAAAUCAAGCUGUUACUUUUACAUAUGCAUGGAUCAACUCAUGCGGGAUCAAAUAUCUGUACUUUUCGACACGGAAAUUACACUUUGUGAAGGUACACCAACCAAGCACGAAUAAAACCUAUAUAUACAAAACUCUAUGGGGCAUUUCAUCGAACACAAAGUCUGCGUCUUUACUGAAAACAGAGAAGUUAAACCUGCAAUCACUCAUUAUCUACUAACAUACAAGUACGAAUUACUUACAUUUGGGGAUCGGAUUCCAAGAUACAUUCGAAUUGAUUCAGAAGAUCGACCGUGUCUGCUUCGGAACAACGCAGCUCCUCUCCUUCCAUAUUUUCUGUUUGUUUCCCAAGAAAAUCCAAGGGAAAAGAAAUCUGAGGAAAAAUGACAGCUUUAUACGAUGUUGGAACAAAAUGGUAAAUUAAUUAAAAAAAAUAACUACGUGGAAGUUUUUUAUUCGUUGUUGCAAUAAGUUGCAGGAAAAAGUAAUGAUGCUGGCCGCAGAUGAACCAGUUUCGGGCCAAUGUCACACUAACACGUAUACACCUUCCUUCGACUUUUCUUUUCUUGUAUAAAAUUUUGGAGCUGCUAUGGCUAUUCUCUCUCUCUCUCUCUCUCUCUCUCUCUCUCUCUCUCUGAGUAGGCCUAGCAAACGGGUCGUGUCUGUCGUGUUCGUGUUGUUUUUGUGUAACACCUAUUAUCUUAACGGAUCGUAUCGUGUCACACCUGUUAUCUUAACAGGUCGGGUCACUUUACCCAACGGGUAAAAUGACCCAACCAGUUAUGACCUGUUAAGAAAAAUAUAUUUUUUUCUUAAAUUUGCACAUACCACACAUUGUCACUUAAAUAUUACUUCAAAACAUUAAAACACAUUUAUCGUUUUAGUACUACAUCUACACUUGAAAAUAAGAUCAUAAUAAAAAAAAGGGUAAAUUACAUAGUAGCCCCUCAGGUUUGAGGUCUAUUGCAAUCUUAUACAACAUCUUUAAAACAUUUCACUUUCAUACCUCAAGUACUAUUUUAUUUCAAUUUUAUACAACCGUUAGAUUUUCCAUCCAUUGAUCUGUUAAAUGCUGACGUGCCUGCCACAUAUAUGACACGUGGCUGCCAAAUGUCUGCCACGUGGCAAAUAAAAAUAAUUUUUUAAUUUAAAAAAAAAAACAUAUCUGCCACUUUUUUUUUCUCUUUUUCUUCUUCUUCUCUUUCUCUUUCUUCUUCUUCUGGGUUGGGACCCCUUUUUUUUUUUUUUUCCUUCUUCUUCUUCUUCCUCCUCAUCCUCUUUCUUCUUCUGUUCUUCUUCUUCCUCCUUCUUCUUAUGGGUUCCGUCCCUUUUUUUUUUUUUCCUCUUUCUUCUUCUUCUUCUCUUUCUCUUUCUUUUUCUUCUGGGUUCGGACCCUUUUUUUUUUCUUUUUUUUUUCUUCUUCUUCUUCUUCUCCCUCCUCCUCCUCUUUCUUCUUCCCUUCUUCUUCUUCCUUCUUCUUCUUCUGGGUUCGGUCCCUUUCUUUUUUUUUUUUUUUUUCUUUUCUUCUUCUUCUUCUUCUUCCUCAUCCUCCUCCUCUUUCUUCUUCUCUUCUUCUUUUUCCUCCUUCUUUUUCUGGGUUCGGUCCCCUUUUUUUUUUUCUUCUUCUUCUUCUUCUUCUUCCUCCUCCUCCUCCUCCUCUUUCUUCUUCUUCCUUCUUCUUCUGGGUUCGGACCCCUUUCUUUUUUUUUCUUUUUUUUUCUUCUUCUUCUUUCUCCUCCCUCCUCUUUCUUCUUCUCUUCUUCUUCUUCCUCCUUCUUCUGGGUUCGGUCCCUUUCUUUUUCUUCUUCUUCUUCUUCCUCAUCCUCCUCCUCUUUCUUCUUCUCUUCUUCUUCUUCCUCCUUUUUCUGGGUUCGGUCCCUUUUUUUUUUUCUUCUUCUUCUUCCUCCUCCUCCUCCUCCUCUUUCUUCUUCUUCCUCCUUCUUCUGGGUUCGGACCCUUUUUUUUUUUUUUUUUUCUUCUUCUUCUUCCUCCUCCUCCUCCUCUUUCUUCUUCUUCCUCCUUCUUCUAGGUUCUGUCUUUUUUUUUUCUUCUUCUUCUUCCAAUUUCAGGUUUUUAAAAAAUAAAAAAAAAUUAUUUUAUUUGCCACGUGGCAGACAUUUGGCAGCCACGUGUCAUAUAUGUGGCAGCCACGUCAGCAUUACAGAUCCAUGGAUGGAAAAUCUAACGGUUGUAUGAAAUUGAAAUAAAAUAGUACUUGAGGUAUGAAAGUGAAAUGUUUUAAAGAUGUUGUAUAAGAUUGCAAUAGACCUCAAACCUGAGGGGCUACUAUGUAAUUUACCCUAAAAAAAACAAUCAAACACUACUAGUCUAUUACAAAAUAUUAAAUGUGCAAGGAUAUGCAAAAUGAAAGAGUUUUUGUUUUCAAGGUUGUGAAGCAUUUCAUUAAGUAUAACAUAAGAUUUUGUGGUAUCCACCAGUGAAAAUAUUUUAAAUUGAAUAUCGAGUUCAUUCAUUGUAUUCAUAUAGGGUCAAUGAGUGUAGCUGUAAAAAAAUCAUCAAAAUCGGAGUUAAAUUAACCGUUAAAUCAUGAUUUUGCGUUGACAAUCGUCGAAAAGUUUUGUCCUGUUACUUGAUCAUUGAAUGUUUGCUUUUUGCAAUUUUUGGCGUGUGCGAUCUCGAAGCAUAUACAAACAAGUUUGACGGUUGGAUCGUUGAAAUUAGUUUCAUAGAAUGCGUAUCUCAUCAAAACGAUAGAUUCACGAACACAUAGAGUUUUAUUUAUCCUUUCAUUAAGUAUAACAUAAGAUUUUGUGAUAUCCACUUGUGUAAAUAUUUUAAAUUGAAGAUCAAAUUCAUUCAUUGCAUUCAUAUAGGGUCAAGGAGUGUAGCUGUAAAAAAAUCAUCAAAAUCAGAGUUAGAUUAACCGUUAAAUCAUGAUUUUGCGUUGACAAUCGUCGAAAAGUUUUGUCCUGUUACUUGAUCUUUGAAUGUUUGCUUUUUGCAAUUUUUGGCGUAUGCGAUCUCGAAGCAUAUACAAACAAGUUUGACGGUUGGAUCAUUGAAAUUAGUUUCAUAGGAUGCGUAUCUCAUCAAAACGAUGGAUUCACUAAUACUUAAGAGUUUAUUUAUACUUUCAUUAAGCAUAACAUAAGUUUUUGUGGUAUCCACUUGUAUAAAUAUUUUAAAUUGAAGAUUGAAUUCACUCAUUGUAUUCAUAUAGGGUCAAUGAGUGUAACUGUAAAAAAUCAUCAAAAUCGGAGUUAAAAUAACCGUUAAUAGUAAUUUUUCGUUUAUAAUCGUCGAAAAGUUUUGUCUCGUUACUUGAUCUCUGAAUGUUUGUUUUUUGCGAUUUUUGGCGUAUGCGAUCUAGCAUAUACAAACAAUUUUGACAGUUGGAUCGUUGAAAUUAGUUUCGUAGGAUGCGUAUCCCAUCAAAAUGAUAUAUUCACUAACAUUUAAAAGUUUAUUUAUACUUUCAUUAAGCAUAACAUAAGUUUUUGUGGUAUCCACUUGUGUAAAUAUUUUAAAUUGAAAAUCAAAUUCAAUCAUUGUAUUCAUAUAGGGUCAAGGAGUGUAGCUGUAAAAAAUCAUCAAAAUCGGAGUUAAAAUAACCGUUAAAUCGUGAUUUUUUCGUUUAUAACCGUCGAAAAGUUUUGUCCCGUUACUUGAUCUCUGAAUGUUUGUUUUUUACGAUUUUUGGCGUAUGCGAUCUCGAAGCAUGUACAAACAAGUUUGACGGUUUGAUCAUUGAAAUUAGUUUUGUAGAAUAUGUAUCUCAUCAAAACAAUAUAUUCAAUAACACUUGAGAGUUUAUUUAUCCUUUUAUUAAGUAUAACAUAAGAUUUUGUGGUAUCUACUUGUAUAAAUAUUUUAAAUUGAAGAUCGAAUUCCUUCAUUGUAUUCAUAUAGGGACAAGGAGUGUAGCUAUAAAAAAUCAUCAAAAUCGGAGUUAAAAUAACCGUUAGAUUGUGAAUUUUUGUUUAUAACCGUCGAAAAGUUUUGUCCCGUUACUUGAUCUCUGAAUGUUUGUUUUUUGUGAUUUUUGGCGUAUACGAUCUCGAAGCAUAUACAAACAAUUUUGACGGUUGCAUCGUUGAAAUUAGUUUUGUAGGAUGCGUAUCCCAUCAAAAUGAUAGAUUCACUAGCACUUAGAGUUUAUUUAUAUUUUCAUUAAGCAUAACAUAAGUUUUUGUGGUAUCCACUAGUGUAAAUAUUUUAAAUUGAAGAUCAAAUUCAAUCAUUGUAUUAAUAUAGGGUCAAUGAGUGUAGCUGUAAAAAAUCAUCAAAAUCGGAGUUAAAAUAACCGUUAAAUCGUGAUUUUUUGUUUAUAACCUUCGAAAAGUUUUGUCCCGCUUCUUGAUUUCUAAAUGUUUGUUUUUUACGAUUUUUGGCGUAUGCGAUCUCUGAAUUAUAAUUAUUAUAGUUUUUAGAGGUAUAAAAUUGUUGAAUUAAUAUAUAUAAUUAUUAUAGUAUUUUUUAGGGUUAUAAAAUUAAUAUUUUGCUUAUCGUGUUAACCACGUGUAUACCCGAACCAACCCGUUAUCUUAACAGGUGCUUAUCGGGUUACCCGAUAACGACCCGAUUCGUUAUCGUGUCGACCCGAACACCUGUAAAUUUCGUGUCAUGUCGGACCUGGUUAUCGGGUCGUGUCAGGAAUUGCCAGGCCUUGGGGCGUGUCAGAAUCUGUCAACCAAACUGAUCCAAUCCACACGUAGAAUGAGAAACUAAUAUUUGGCAUAGGCUAAACCCUAUCUUCCAGAUGGCUGACUUUUCAAACAAAAUAAAAGCCACACGUCCACACUUGAAUCUGUCAACCAAUUUGAUCAAAUCCACACGUAGAAUGAGAGGCUGAUAUGUGGCAUAGGGUAAAGCCAAUCUUUCAGAUGGCUGACCUUUCAAACAAGAUCAAAGUCACACGUCCACAUGUCCACACUUGAAUCUGUUAACCAAACUGAUCCAAUUCACACGUAGAAUAAGAGAUUAAUAUGUGGCAUAGGCUAAAGCCUAUCUUCAAGAUGGCUGACUUUUCAAACAAAAUAAAAGCCACACUUCCACACUUGAAUCUGUCGACCAAACUGAUCAAAUCCACACGUAGAAUGAGAGGCUGAUAUGUGGCAUAGGCUAAAGCCUAUCUUCCAGAUGGCUGACUUUUCAAACAAGAUUAAAGUCAUACGUCCACACCUCCACACUUGAAUCUGUUAACCAAAUUGAUCAAAUCCACACAUAGAACGAGAGGCUAAUCUGUGGCAUAUGCUAAAUCCUAUCUUCCAGAUUGCUGACUUUUCAAACAAGAUCAAAGCCACAUGUCUACACUUGAAUCUGUCAACCAAACUGAUCCAAUCCACACGUAGAAUGAGAGGCUGAUCUGUGGCAUAGGCUAAAGCCUAUCUUCCAGAUGGCUGACUUUUCAAACAAGAUUAAAGUCAUACGUCCACACCUCCACACUUGAAUCUGUUAACCAAAUUGAUCAAAUCCACACAUAGAACGAGAGGCUAAUCUGUGGCAUAUGCUAAAUCCUAUCUUCCAGAUUGCUGACUUUUCAAACAAGAUCAAAGCCACAUGUCUACACUUGAAUCUGUCAACCAAACUGAUCCAAUCCACACGUAGAAUGAGAGACUUAUAUGUGGCAUAGACUAAACUCUAUCUUCCAGAUGACUGACUUUUCAAACAAAAUAAAAGUCAUAUAUCCACACUUGAAUCUGUCAACCAAAUUGAUCAAAUCCACACGUAGAAUGAGAGGCUGAUAUGUGGCAUAGGCUAAAGUCUAUCUUCCAGAUUGCUGACUUUUCAAACAAGAUAAAAGCCACACGUCCAUACGUCCACACUUGAAUCUGUCAACCAAACUGAUCCAAUCCACACGUAGAUUAAGAGACUAAUAUGUGGCAUAGGCUAAAGCCUAUCUUCCAUAUGGCUGACUUUUCAAACAAAAUAAAAGCCACACGUCCACACUUGAAUUUGUCGACCAAACUGAUCAAAUCCACACGUAGAAUGAGAGGCUGAUUCGUGGCAUAGGCUAAAGCCUAUCUUCUAGAUGACUGACUUUUCAAACAAGAUAAAAGCCACACGUCCACACUUGAAUCUGCCAACCAAACUGAUCCAAUCCACACGUCCACACGCCACAUGUCACAUCCCCGCCCCGGCUCGACUCCGCCGUAGCACGAUAUUGUCCGUUUUAGACCCCGACCACCCCCUCACGAUUUUGUUUAUGGGAACUUACGCGAGAACUUCCCAGUGGGUCACCCAUCUUGGGAUUGCUCUUGCACCAUUCUCGCUUAACUUCAGAGUUCCUACGGAACCCGAAACUAAUAAGCGAUUGGCUCUGAUACAAAAUUGUCAGAUCCGGCCCGAGCUCCACCACACCCCGAGCUCGACUCCAAUGUAGCACGAUAUUGUCUGCUUUGGGCCCCGACCACGCCCUCACAGUUUUGUUUCUGGGAACUCACGCGAGAACUUCCUAGUGAGUGACCCAUCAUAGGAUUGCUCUCGAGCCAUUCUCGCUUGACUUCGGAGUUCCUACGGAACCCGAAGCCAGUGAGCUCCCAAAAUGCCUCGUGCUAGGUAGAGAUGUGAAUAUACAUAUGAGGCUUACAUGAUCCACACCCCUGGACGAUGUGGGAUCUUACACCACGCAUCCCAAAUCAAUUUGAAUUGUACUGUUUGCUUGGAGAUAUAAUUAUGUCCUUUAUUUUAUCAAACCCAUACUUGCAUAAGGAGUCAAAAUCUCCUACUGAUGCAUUCCACGUGGCAAGAAUCAAAAGGCAUAUACCAUUUGUAUUCAUGUGAUAAUCAUCCCAUCCUACUACAUCAUCUGAUGUCGUGCCUUAAUGCACAUCCAUAUUCCAUCAUAUUUUGGGGCUAUAAUUAUUCGAGUAUAUAUAAUUAUUAUAAUUAUUAUAGUUAAUUUAAUAUAUAUAUAUAUAUAUAUUAUAGUUUUUAGGGUAUAAAAUUGUUAAAUUAAUAUAUAUUAUUUUUAUAUUAUUUUUUUUAGGAUUAUAAAAUUAUAAAAUUAAUAUUCUGUUUAUCGUGUUUCGUGUUACCCACGUAUAUACCGUAUAUACCUGAACCAACCCGUUAUCUUAACAUGUGCUUAUCGGGUUACCCGAUAACGAUCCGAUUUGUUAUCGUAUCGAUUCGAACAUGUGUUAAUUUCGUGUCGUGUCGUGUCUGGUUAUCUGUCGUGUCAGGAAUUGCAGGCCUACCUCUCUGAGCAUCAAUCGCCGAAGGAUUUUCUAUCAUUUUCCCUCACUUUCUCCCGUUUUCUCUCUCGCCAAACACUCCAAUUCCUUAAGGAUCUGAGGUUUCUUCCACUUCAAAUCUCACCUUUUUUUUCUUUCCAAUUGGGCAAAAAGGCAUUGAUUUGAAACGAAUAUUAUAAUAGAAAGGAAAGCGCUUUGGGGGGAUUAGAAUUUCUGAAUCUAGGGUUCCGUGAUCUGUAUAUGCUUCUUGAUGACUAUGGAAAUCGUGGUGGAUGCGGCGUCGUUUGACGCCGAGCUGUUGCAGCUCAAUGAGGUGUCCCCUUUGGCCCUCAAAUCGAAUCCGAGCUACGUCGAGUCGCUGUUCGAGCAGUGGCUUUCGCUUCCCAAUACUAAUCGCCUGGUACUUGAAAACCCAAAUUUUUUUGUCUUCAAAAUUUGAAAUUUUUGGUGUUUUCGCAUUGUUUUGGUUGUGCAUCUUGUUGGGUUUCGAAGGAUUUAUGGGUGCAGUUUUUGGUUUUUGAAUUUUGGUGAGCUUGGUUUUUUGCUGUUGAAUUAAAAAUUUCUGUGUUUUUUCAUGUGUGUAUGUUUUGAGAUACACAUAAUUUGCAUGGAUUUGUAUAUGUGUUUGUUCUAGCCUGUGAAACCAGCAUGAGAGCUAAGAAAUAAUGAUGCUGAGUUGAUUUUAGUAUAUAUUGAUUUUCGUGCCCAUGGUAUUGAAUUUGUUCGGAAACGAUGACUUUGCGAUUAAUGAAGCAUUAAAGGGCACAUUUCAGUAUGGAAAAAGGGAUGAAAAUUGUAAAUUGUUAGCAAUGUUCGAAAUUACCUAAUGCCUUAAAGUAGUUACAAAUUUGUAAUUAGUUGUUGGAAAUGCUAAAGUUUAUAUAUUUUUUUUAAUUAGGAUACUGGAUACCUAUGAUUUACAUACUACAUAAUCUUUCAUCUUUUCUGAUGCAUGACAGUUUUUUCAUUUUCCCGACUCUAUGGUUGCAGGUGACACAACUGCUAACUGAAGCAAAGGCAGGUAGGCCUCUGAAUGUUCAGGGAAAUUCUUCUAGUCCACAUGCCACUGCAGGCAGUACUUUGCCUUCUAUGUUUCCAACCAAAGUGGGACAAAGGGAAGGCCCCACAGUCCCGGAAAGAGACUCCACCUCUUCCAUCCUCUCGGGUGCGUUCAUCAGCCAGAUCUGAUGACAGGGCAGCUUUCAAGGAUGAUGCAUUGAAUGAGUUACGAGCAAAACGUUUGAAGCUGCAUGACCCUGAGGCUCACCGCAAGUUGAGAUAUGCUUCUCGUAGUGAAGAUGAUGGAUCAUCAGGGGAUGAUGCAAUGAUUGACAGUGAUGAUGAAAGGUCACAGGGACUAACUUUUGAUGUUAUAAAGGAGAUUACCAUUCGAAGGUCGAAACUUGCAAGUGGUUUAUGGAGCCCUUCUUGGAAGAGUUAAUUGUGGUUUGCGUUGUAAGGGUUGGAAUUGGGAGGUCAAAGUCUGGGACUAUCAAUGGUGGGAGCAGUACGGGCAGGCAUAGCAGCAACUGCAGCAGCUUUGGAAGCUGCGGCUGGUGUAGGGAAGUUGAUUGAUACGAGUGCCCCUGUUGAUUUUGGAAGAGAGUCAAAUCUAAAGCAUAAUUUUGAGCUGCCAAUAUCAUUGGCUGCUCUUCAGAAGUUUGGAAAGCCACAGGGUUCUUGGCAAGAAAGCAGCGAAUAGAAGCAAUAGUUGAGUGCCAAGUCCCAGAGAAUAAUGGGAGGAGGCAUGCGCUGAUGCUUACAGUUGGCGACUACAUGAGAAGAAGAGGGAUUCUCUGAACAUAUUAAAAACCACCACAGAAACAAGAAAGUUCAAAAAGAGAGAACAUAUUAAAAACAGAUCAAGGCAUGCAAAAAAAUACAGACUCUAUCUGCAAACUAGCUGAUUAAGCCAGAAAGUUUCCUAGCUUACAUAGUCGUCGUCGUCUUGGUCCUCCUCCUCAUCAUCACCCUCAUCAUCAUCAUCCGCAACUUCUUGGUCCUGAUCAUCGUCUUAUUCCUCAUCCUCCUCAUUAAAAUCCUUCUCAUCAUCCUCAUCGUGUUGUCAUCAUCCUCAUCAAAAUCAUCAUCUUCAUAAUCCUCAUCAAAAUCAUCACCUUUGGUAGAAAUUUCUUCUAAGGCCCGUUCGUAAGGGAUAUAAUGGUAAUCAAAUAAUGAACCUUUGAAAGUCAUAAGUUUGUCGCAUACUAAACGUACCCCUAUUUUCUUCACCGGACAAUGUGCAAUAACAUGGACCAAAUCGCUUUCUCCCAAAUUGAACUCAGUUUCCGACAACGAUAAAUUUGCCAGCCAAAUCAUCUCUUCAAUGAGAAAAAGAUCUCCUAGUUCGACACAAAAACUAGUACCCUCGUUGAUGUAAUCACGAGGAACAAAAGCCAGGCACACAGCCAACGCUUUUGCAUUACAUCCAAUUUCCUUGGGCACUUCAAAAGAGACUUGGGUACCCUCGUUGACAUGAUUGAACCAAGUGGGAAUUUGUCUUCCUACAAAACUCAUGGUUCCACCUCCUGUCCAUCCCUAUACCAUGUGGAACAACAUUUGUGUUAGUACUACAUACAUAACACACAUAUUUGCGAUGGGGGAGGAGAGAGGAGUGGUGUGGAAGAGAGAGAGUACCUGUAUCGUGCUAUCCUUAAGAAGGAAAUCCAUGACAUUGUUGUGUGUUAUCAUACAAAGAUGGAGUCCCGAGUUUAACGCGCUAUCCAAGCCUGGAAACUCAAUGAGUUUCGGGGAAAAGAGACUCACCAUUGUUGACAUGCCUGAAAAAUCUGGCAUUCUUUCUAAUGCAGAGCAGUCAUCCAUUUGCAGGAAACCCAAACUUUUUGGUAAAUCUGUAAUCUCGACAAGGUUUCUGCAACCAUUUAAGGAUAGUAUACGAAGCUUGGAGAGGCCACUGAGGCUUGGAAGGCUCCCAAAAUUAUUGUCAUCUAGACUUAACUCCACUAAACAAGGUAGACUACUCCCAAUAUCAUUAGGCACUUCCUCUAUAUUGCUGUCCUCCAAAAUUACACUUGUCAAAGAGCGUAAACCUAGUAAGGAAGGUAGCUGCAAAGAACACUUCAAUUUACUCAAAGAUAAGCGCUCGAGCUUCUCUAGUCGUACGAUGGAAGGUGGUAGUUUUUUUAUGGCCGUUCCAUCUGCAUAAAGAGUGACCAAUGAUGCCAUUUCUCCCAAGUGCUCAGCCAAACUUUGGAAUCUUGAACAACCAUCGAGAACAAGAGUUUUAACAGAUUUCAACUUGUAGAAACUCCUCGGAAGAGCCUUAAGCGUUUCACAGUCUUUCAAAUUCACCAACACAAGACUCUUAAGAUCUCCGAUGGACUUGUGAACUUUAGCCAACCUCUUACAGUCUUUGAGUAUCAAUUUCUCAAGAUUUGGGAAUUUUGAAAAGUCUGGCGAUUGUGUUAGAUCGUGGGAGUGGCUGAGAUUUAGAAUCUUCAACUUAUCAAGCAACUGUUAAGAAAAAUCAAAUUUAAAUAAAAAAUUUAAAUCCAAAAAGAAGAUACAAAGAGCAUAAAAAUAAUUCCUAAUUUGGUUCAGGUUACGCAUUGUACUUACCCCAGAAUACUCACAAAGAACUUGUCUGAGGUUGCUGUACUGCAUGUCGAUAACAACUAUGUUUGGUUGACACAGUUCUAUUGGUAUGAACUCCAAUGGGAAUCCAUGCCAGCACAGCCAUUUUAAUUUUUUGGAAAGACAUUGGUAUCCCCCAGAGAGCCGAACGUAGUUUAGUUGGAGCAAUCUCAGUCUCUUCAUAUUUCUAAACACCUCAGUACUGAAACUAGUCUCUUCAAGACUCGGCAAAUUCAAAGCUAGACCUUCAAUUUUUUCAGUUCCCUGCUAUCCGAAAAAACAGACUCCAAAUGAGAGAAGGCUUAUCAUGAAAAAAAGUUAGAUUACUAACUUACAUAUGCUUACACGUUUAACAUAAAGUUUGAUUGGGAAAGUACUUACAGAUUUGUCUAUCAAUACAUCAUUUACAUCUUCGGGAUGCCACAAUCUACUCCGUUCUCCAGGAAAAUCGGGAUUUUCUGCAUGCACGAUAUCUCUGCCCAUAUCUCGAAGCAAAUCAUGCAUCAUAAUCUUGUUUUCUCUAUUAAUAGUCACUAGGCACCGGUUAAGGAGGACCUCGAUUCCUGUUGUUGAAUAAAAGCCACAACCAUCCAAGAUUUGCACGACAUCGUUCUUGUCCAUUCCGAUAAAAAAACAAGCUAUAUCGAGGAAUAUCCGCCUCUUGUAAUUAUCAUUUAGCCCGUCGUAGCUUAUUUUCAGUUGUGCCUGAAUUUCUCCACGAGGAAUCAUUUUCAAUUCAUCCAAUAUACUUCUCCAUUCAUCUACGCUUCGUUUGAAAAGAGUAGAUCCUAAAACUUCAAGAGCCAGCGGCAAUCCUCCACAGUAAUUGACAACUUCUCUUUCAAGCGCAAGAUAUUGACUAGGACAACUACUACUUCUGAAAGCAUGCCAACUUAGGAGCUCAAGAGCUUCUUCUCGGUCCAUUACUUUCGCCCGAUAUAUCUUAUCAACUGCAAAUUCUUUUAGCACACGUUCGUUUCUAGUUGUGAUGAUGAUUCUGCUCCCCGGGCCAAAAAAGUGGCAAUUUCCAACUAAUUCGCGUAACUGCUUCACAUCGUCUACAUCAUCAACUAUGACAAGUACCUUUAAGCGUCGAAAUCUUUCCCUUACCAAGGCGGUCCCUGCAACAACACUGCUUACCUUUGUCUUGGUUUGCAAGAUAUCGAAAAGAAGUUGUUUUUGCAAUUUUUCUAGUUUCUUUUCCCUCACUUUUUCAAGGAAACUUUUACCUUCAAACCUUUCAUAAAAUAUGUUAUAAAUGGCUUGAGCAAUCGUUGUUUUACCUAUUCCACCCAUGCCUGAAAUUCCAAUCACACGAACAUCAUCUGAAUCUCCGAUGCCUAAAUAAUUACUGAUAUCUAGCACUCGAGUAUCUAUUCCGACUUGAUAGGGCGCUACGUCAAAGUAUUUGUUGUUCAACUUCGUAGUGACGUCAUUGGUAAUCAUCCUGAUAAACUUUGCUUCAUGCCUGGCAUUAGUCAAGUUGAGAAGCAAAACGAAGAUUGUUAUACAACGAAAUUGAACUAAUUAAUACACAAAAUUAUUUAUCAUGACUAGAGAUUUUAAUUAAGACAAUUUUUUGAGGUGGUGUGUUUAAACUUAGCAAACAUCAAUUAAGAUUAAAAUAUAAAUUUCAAUAAGAAACACAAACAAAAAAACCAGCAUCCCUUCCCUCUGCAGCUAGUCGCCGGCGUCUUCCCAGCUGUGAUUAGUGUAGCCUUAACAGUUUAAGCUUUAUUGUAUGAUUUUAUUACAGAG